AGGACGAACGCUGGCGGCGUGCUUCACACAUGCAAGUCGAACGGGGCUCAUUCGGUGGUAACACCGGAGAAGGCCUAGUGGCGAACGGGUGCGUAACACGUGAAGAACCUGCCCCGAAGACUGGGAUAACAGCGGGAAACCGCUGCUAAUACCGGAUGACCCCACCAGGCCGCAUGGCCAGGUGAGGAAAUGGGCCUACCGCUUCGGGAGGGCUUCGCGGCCUAUCAGCUUGUUGGUGGGGUAACGGCCUACCAAGGCUACGACGGGUAGCUGGUCUGAGAGGACGACCAGCCACACUGGGACUGAGACACGGCCCAGACUCCUACGGGAGGCAGCAGUGGGGAAUAUUGCGCAAUGGGGGAAACCCUGACGCAGCGACGCCGCGUGCGGGAUGAAGGCCUUCGGGUUGUAAACCGCUUUCACCAGGGAAGAAUCCAGACGGUACCUGGGGAAGAAGCGCCGGCUAACUACGUGCCAGCAGCCGC
Molecule: ribosomal RNA, 485 nt
Filed under: uncultured bacterium
Lineage: Bacteria
Description: SSU rRNA
Rfam family: Bacterial small subunit ribosomal RNA
Source: RNAcentral